AUACGGAGGGGGCUAGCGUUGUUCGGAAUUACUGGGCGUAAAGCGCGCGUAGGCGGUUCGUAUAGUCAGGCGUGAAAGCCCCGGGCUCAACCUGGGAAUUGCAUUCGAAACUGCAUGACUAGAGUCUGAUAGAGGGAAGUGGAAUUUCCGGUGUAGCGGUGAAAUGCGUAGAUAUCGGAAGGAACAUCAGUGGCGAAGGCGGCUUCCUGGAUUAAGACUGACACUAAGGUGCGAAAGCGUGGGGAGCAAACAGGAUUAGAAACCCGAGUAGUCC
RNAcentral lists this ribosomal RNA (274 nucleotides) under uncultured bacterium. RNAcentral's name for it is "partial 16S ribosomal RNA". It matches the Rfam family "Bacterial small subunit ribosomal RNA", at positions 523 to 796 of the family's 1533-position model. The record is from RNAcentral.